This 75-nucleotide transfer RNA is filed under the name Collinsella tanakaei. RNAcentral describes it as "tRNA-Asn". It matches the Rfam family "tRNA". From Rfam's summary of the family: Transfer RNA (tRNA) molecules are approximately 80 nucleotides in length. Lineage: Bacteria; Bacillati; Actinomycetota; Coriobacteriia; Coriobacteriales; Coriobacteriaceae. The record is from RNAcentral. RNAcentral also lists the same sequence under 6 other names.
UCCUCGAUAGCUCAAUGGUAGAGCACGCGGCUGUUAACCGCGCUGUUGUAGGUUCGAGUCCUACUCGAGGAGCCA